RNAcentral lists this long non-coding RNA (289 nucleotides) under Linum usitatissimum (flax). Its description in RNAcentral is "long non-coding RNA (LUSI_LNC000850)". Lineage: Eukaryota; Viridiplantae; Streptophyta; Magnoliopsida; Malpighiales; Linaceae. The record is from RNAcentral.
AUGGCAAAACUUAUCGAUGGUGGAAGGAAUAGUAUGAUCCUGAUUAUAAGUUGUACUGUUAUUUUUGUUCAUUAUUCCAAGGAAUUAGCAUUAGUGUUUUUGGGUUGGUCGUAAACUUAACAAUUCACCUUGGACUAGCAUUACCUAUUGAAAUCUUGGAUCUUGUUGAUAUGACAAUUUUUUGUAACUACAUUUUGAUUGCAGAAGCUGCAACCGAGUUUUCUGUUUCACUUAUCCAAGCUUUGGUUGUUGAAGAUUACAAUAUCAUCUCUGAACUUCAUAAUCUUGU